Molecule: ribosomal RNA, 450 nt
Filed under: uncultured Comamonadaceae bacterium
Lineage: Bacteria; Pseudomonadati; Pseudomonadota; Betaproteobacteria; Burkholderiales; Comamonadaceae
Description: bacterial SSU rRNA
Rfam family: Bacterial small subunit ribosomal RNA
Source: RNAcentral
GUGGGGAAUUUUGGACAAUGGGCGCAAGCCUGAUCCAGCCAUGCCGCGUGCGGGAAGAAGGCCUUCGGGUUGUAAACCGCUUUUGUCAGGGAAGAAAAGCUCUGGGCUAAUACCCCGGGGUCAUGACGGUACCUGAAGAAUAAGCACCGGCUAACUACGUGCCAGCAGCCGCGGUAAUACGUAGGGUGCAAGCGUUAAUCGGAAUUACUGGGCGUAAAGCGUGCGCAGGCGGUGAUGCAAGACAGAUGUGAAAUCCCCGGGCUCAACCUGGGAACUGCAUUUGUGACUGCAUCGCUGGAGUGCGGCAGAGGGGGAUGGAAUUCCGCGUGUAGCAGUGAAAUGCGUAGAUAUGCGGAGGAACACCGAUGGCGAAGGCAAUCCCCUGGGCCUGCACUGACGCUCAUGCACGAAAGCGUGGGGAGCAAACAGGAUUAGAAACCCUGGUAGUCC